RNAcentral lists this transfer RNA (74 nucleotides) under Allomyces macrogynus. RNAcentral describes it as "tRNA-Cys". It matches the Rfam family "tRNA". Rfam says of the family: Transfer RNA (tRNA) molecules are approximately 80 nucleotides in length. Their secondary structure includes four short double-helical elements and three loops (D, anti-codon, and T loops). The record is from RNAcentral. Lineage: Eukaryota; Fungi; Blastocladiomycota; Blastocladiomycetes; Blastocladiales; Blastocladiaceae.
GGAUUGGUAACAUAAUGGAUUAAUGUGUCUGACUGCAGAUCAGUUUUAUGUGAGUUCAAUUCUCACCCAAUCCU